GUGAUCUUGAAAAAUCUCAGCUUGGAUUAGCUCAUAGCUACAGCAGAGCCAAGGUGAAGUUCAAUGUUAACUGAGUGGAUAACAUGGUUAUUCAAGCUAUUUUCCUCCUUGACACCCUUGACAAGGAUAUCAAUUCCUUUCCCAUGAGAGUCAGGGAAUGGUAUUCGUGGCACUUCCCCGAGCUAGUGAAGAUAGUUAAUGACAACUAUCUUUACGCCCUUGUUUUUUUUAAUAGCAAUGAAUAAAUGUGUUUUUAGUAUCAAUUGUUCUGAGACGGUUAUUUUCUUACUUGUUGACAGGCCAGGAUUUAUCACCAGUUGACCUGAGCAACGUACAGACCUUUGCUCAGAGUUAUGGAUCUUGCUGACUACAGGAAGAAGCUAACGUACAGACCUAAUUUGGCAGCUUUAAUUGUAUUUUUAUUUUUGAGUAAUGUCGGUUGCGUUUCACUUUUCAGUUUUACAGGCUGUAAGUUCUGCAAUCACAUGAUUACGUCGAAAAAAUAUCAUUCGAAGUGCA
This is a non-coding RNA of Camelina sativa (false flax), 519 nucleotides long. The record is from RefSeq and is a predicted model, not a curated record. NCBI's taxonomy places the organism in Eukaryota, Viridiplantae, Streptophyta, Magnoliopsida, Brassicales, Brassicaceae.